AAACAUCUCCUUUUGGAGUUUUCAUAUUAAAGGUAGUCCCUGCUCCCUGUCUUUAAUAAAGAGCUGCAGUAUUUAGGCUGUACUAAGGUAGCAUAAUAAUUUGUUUUUUAAUUAAAAGCUAGAAUGAAAGGGUUGACGUGAAAAUUAUUUUUCCAGGCUUCCUGUAGAAAUUAUAUCUAGGUGAAAAUACCUAGAAUUGCCCGGUAGACGAUAAGACCCUAUAAAAUUUCACCUCAUACUCAUGAGUUUAGGUAAUUGCUUUGUAAAAGGUUUGGUUGGGACGACAUUCACAAAAAAGCUGUGGCGGAUUUUAAACACUGUUGUGUGGAGUGUAAGACCUCAAAAUCUAUAAACUAAAUUACUUUAGGGAUAACAGCGUAAUCUUCUUUAGAGCUCUAAUCAAAAAGGGGGUUUACGACCUCGAUGUUGAAUUAAGGUACCCUUAAGGCGCAGUUGU
RNAcentral lists this ribosomal RNA (457 nucleotides) under Eudorella truncatula. Its description in RNAcentral is "partial large subunit ribosomal RNA". It matches the Rfam family "Archaeal large subunit ribosomal RNA", at positions 1903 to 2631 of the family's 2987-position model. Lineage: Eukaryota; Metazoa; Arthropoda; Malacostraca; Cumacea; Leuconidae. The record is from RNAcentral.